UAUUCGAUCCCAAUAUUUCACCAAUAUAGAACCUGGUAGUUUUUGAAAUUAGCAAGGAUGUGCUUGAUUUGUUCUGCAGCCCCUGUCAUAAAAAGAUUUUACUCUCUCUGGUCUCUGUUCUUCAAGUUUGCCUUUGAUUGAUUUCAUGUAAUCUUUGAUGUACUUCUUGUAGGCUUCUUUUGUGAAGCUGGUUUCCUGCAGGUGAUGGUUCAUGACCAUCUUCCCCUCCACCUCCAGGCACAGUCCGCCCGCGAUCUCCCGGAUCUUGUAGAUAAUCAUGAUGGCGGCUGGUAGGAGACGACAGCGGCGGCGCUAGCUUGGCAGGAGCCCGGAGCUCAGAGCGAGCGCGGUGCAGCC
Molecule: long non-coding RNA, 357 nt
Filed under: Oryctolagus cuniculus (rabbit)
Lineage: Eukaryota; Metazoa; Chordata; Mammalia; Lagomorpha; Leporidae
Description: lncRNA (ENSOCUG00000006598.3)
Source: RNAcentral